This 500-nucleotide ribosomal RNA is filed under the name uncultured bacterium. RNAcentral's name for it is "partial 16S ribosomal RNA". It matches the Rfam family "Bacterial small subunit ribosomal RNA", at positions 30 to 523 of the family's 1533-position model. The record is from RNAcentral.
AUUGAACGCUGGCGGCAUGCCUUACACAUGCAAGUCGAACGGCAGCACGGGAGCAAUCCUGGUGGCGAGUGGCGAACGGGUGAGUAAAGUAUCGGAACGUGCCCAGUCGUGGGGGAUAACGUAGCGAAAGUUACGCUAAUACCGCAUACGAUCUAUGGAUGAAAGCGGGGGAUCGCAAGACCCCGCGCGAUUGGAGCGGCCGAUAUCAGAUUAGGUAGUUGGAGGGGUAAAGGCUCACCAAGCCGACGAUCUGUAGCUGGUCUGAGAGGACGACCAGCCACACUGGGACUGAGACACGGCCCAGACUCCUACGGGAGGCAGCAGUGGGGAAUUUUGGACAAUGGGCGAAAGCCUGAUCCAGCCAUGCCGCGUGCAGGAUGAAGGCCUUCGGGUUGUAAACUGCUUCUGUACGGAACGAAAAGGUUUGGCCUAAUAAGCUGAGCUCAUGACGGUACCGUAAGAAUAAGCACCGGCUAACUACGUGCCAGCAGCCGCAGUAA